AUCAACUUUCGAUGGUAGGAUAGAGGCCUACCAUGGUGGUAACGGGUAACGGGGUGUUAGGGCACGACACCGGAGAGGGAGCCUGAGAAACGGCUACCACAUCCAAGGAUGGCAGCAGGCGCGCAAAUUACCCAAUCCCGACACGGGGAGGUAGUGACAAUAAAUAACAAUACGGGGUUCUUUCGGAUUUCGUAAUUGGAAUGAGUACAAUUUAAAUCUCUUAACGAGGAACAAUUGGAGGGCAAGUCUGGUGCCAGCAGCCGCGGUAAUUCCAGCUCCAAUAGCGUAUAUUAAAGUUGCUGCAGUUAAAAAGCUCGUAGUUGAAUUUCGGGACCAAUAUGUCGGUCGUGCCUCGGUACGUACUGGCAUCGUUGGUUUCUCCCUUCUGACGAACCAUGAUGUCAUUCAUUUGGUGUCGUGGGGAAUCAGGACUGUUACUUUGAAAAAAUUAGAGUGUUUAAAGCAGGCUCACGCUUGAAUACAUUAGCAUGGAAUAAUGAAAUAGGACGUUUGAUUCUAUUUUGUUGGUUUCUAGGAUCGACGUAAUGAUUAAUAGGGAUAGUUGGGGGCAUUAGUAUUCAAUUGUCAGAGGUGAAAUUCUUGGAUUUAUUGAAGACUAACUACUGCGGAAGCAUUUGCCAAGGAUGUUUUCAUUAAUCAAGAACGAAAGUUAGGGGAUCGAAGACGAUCAGAUACCGUCGUAGUCUUAACCAUAAACUAUGCCGACUAGGGAUCGGAUGAUGUAAUUUUUUUAAUGACUCAUUCGGCGCCUUACGGGAAACCAAAGUGUUUGGGUUC
This 798-nucleotide ribosomal RNA is filed under the name uncultured Glomus. RNAcentral describes it as "SSU rRNA". It matches the Rfam family "Eukaryotic small subunit ribosomal RNA", at positions 314 to 1114 of the family's 1831-position model. The record is from RNAcentral. Lineage: Eukaryota; Fungi; Glomeromycota; Glomeromycetes; Glomerales; Glomeraceae.